AAUUCUCCCCAUUUUCCCUUUCUCUUUUGUUUUUGUUCCAUGUCUUGAUUGGAAUGGCAUAUAUAAAGGGAGUGUCAACACUAUGUGACCACUUUAACAAAUCACAUACAAAACAUGUGAUGAUAUACUUUAGCGGGUUGAUGACACCCUUGAGUUGUUCAAUAAACUCCAACUACAGCACCAAUAUGUUGCUACAAUGACUAAAACAUUACAUGAUGCAUGUGACAAAUUGGAGUUGUUUUGUUGUUGCUCACCUUAUUUAUUUAUUUAUUUGAAGAGGGUUGGUUAUAAUGAUUAUAAAGGCCAUAAUUUGAAUUAUGGUCAUUGAUAAUCUAAGGGUUGUUAUCCCUUUAUUUUCAAGGUCAACGAGCAUGAGACAUGGCUUUACUUGGAUCUUUAAAUGACAAAUGAGGAGAAAAAGUAAAUGAGAAUUGAUGUUUUAA
Molecule: long non-coding RNA, 443 nt
Organism: Prosopis cineraria
Lineage: Eukaryota; Viridiplantae; Streptophyta; Magnoliopsida; Fabales; Fabaceae
Exons: 3
Source: RefSeq, a predicted model, not a curated record